RNAcentral lists this ribosomal RNA (465 nucleotides) under uncultured bacterium. Its description in RNAcentral is "partial 16S ribosomal RNA". It matches the Rfam family "Bacterial small subunit ribosomal RNA", at positions 338 to 795 of the family's 1533-position model. The record is from RNAcentral.
CCUACGGGUGACAGCAGUGGGGAAUAUUGCGCAAUGGGCGAAAGCCUGACGCAGCGACGCCGCGUGAGGGAUGAAGGUCUUCGGAUCGUAAACCUCUGUCAGCAGGGAAGCACGGUCACUGUGCUAAUCAGCAGUGAAUUGACGGUACCUGCAAAGGAAGCACCGGCUAACUCCGUGCCAGCAGCCGCGGUAAUACGGAGGGUGCGAGCGGUAAUCGGAAUUACUGGGCGUAAAGCGCUCGUAGGCGGUAUGUCAAGUCAAGGGUGAAAUCCCCGCGCUCAACGUGGGAACUGCCGUUGAAACUGGCAAACUUGAGUGUGUGAGAGGAAAGUGGAAUGCCAGGUGUAGGAGUGAAAUCCGUAGAUAUCUGGAGGAACAUCAGUGGCGAAGGCGACUAUCUGGCACAUAACUGACGCUGAGGAGCGAAAGCGUGGGUAUCGAACAGGAUUAGAUACCCCAGUAGUC